CGCCGCCGGGGCCGCCUCAGAGCCGGGAGCGCCGGCAGCCCGGCCUCUCUCUCUCUCUUUCUGCCGGGGCGGGCUGCGGCUCCGCCUUGCGCGCUUCCCGGGAGCAGCUUCCCAGGGCAGACUGAGGUCUGGCUCUUCCCUUUCUGCGGUUUGCUUCUCUCCCCGCCUUUCCCACCGGUAUUAAACCCUGGAGGCUGGAUCCCGCGGGGCCAGUGUCCCGCCGCCAGUGCCCCGAGGGCUGCGCUGGAGGCGCCGGGCACAGCGGGGCGGCGGCUCCUCCAGUCUUGGCUGUUACCCUAAAGUGAGAGACAUGUGGGUCACAAAUGGCUCCCAGGGUUGGGGCUUGAACAGCUGGUAAGGAGAGUUGCCUUUUUCCUGUUCUGCUCUGGUAUCUAGUCUAGCUGCACCCUUUCUACUCAAGUUGUUGUUUAAGGUUUUCUUUCAAGACUGUACUUCUUUAGGACUUACCUCACCCCUUCCUCAGCAACUACUUUGAUUGGCUCUUAGGAGCUGAAACUCCCUGCCCUGGAUUGGACCACCCAAGUGUGGAGGAGCAGAGUCCACACAAAGUUACCAGGGUCCUCUUUGUUCAGGGGGAAUGAAAUGACCUCUGUUCUAGAACCACCCAUGUACAUUUGAAACUUCAUACACAGCAUAGUGUUAAUACCCUCUCCAGCAGAACCAGGUUUCUUCCCCAACAUGAUUCCAAUUGCCUCACCUGCACUUUUAUUUUUUUUUAAAUACUUGUUUUAAUUAUUUGAAAGGCAGAGAUACACAGAAAGGGAGAGACAGAGAGAGGUUUUCCAUCCACUAAGUCACUUCCCAAAUGGCUGCAACAGCUGGGGCUGGGCCAGACUGAAGCCAGGAGCCAGGAACCUCUUCUGGGUCUCCCACAUGAGUGCAGGGACCCAACCUCUUGGCUCAUCCUCUGCUGCUUUCCCACGCUCAUUAGCAGAGCUGGAUCAGAAGUGGAGCAGCCGGGACUGGAACCAACUCCCAUAUAUAGGUUGCUACUGUCAGCUGCUUUUCCCUCUCCACCACAAAGCCAACCCCAUCACACACACUUUCGCGUGGUAAGCUUUUUCCCAAAUUUGAGGAUUGGAUUUGGGCUCUGGAGAUUCGAAAUUUGACAAUACUUGCUUUAAGAGAGUAGGAGGAAGAACGGGAAGUUUGAACGGGAAGUUUUAAUUACAGCUUUCAGUUUGUUUAUUCAUUUUCCUCUGAAGACUAAUGUCCACCUACUUUGUUUUAUCAGAAGGUUCAAUCCCAGUUUGAAAGUCCAUUUAAAUGAUAAAAGCGGAGCUAUUCAAAGUCUUUUGUUAAAAUGAGGCUUAAAAUUAGAGAAUCAAUCUGAUGGGUAGAUGGGCUGACCACAUUUUCCCCAGAAAUAGCUUGUUCUUUCUCCUCUGAUAUCUUCUCCAAAGAAGCAUUAAGCAUAUUCCACAACCAGUGAUACUAAGACUGCAGAGCCCACACAGACACAGAUAUGUGCAAGCAAGUACCGGCACGCUCUUCUUGCAGGAGCCUUGGGGAGAAAAACGAGGAUAAUUCAGUCAGGAGGCUGGGUGGGAAGCCGACUGGCCAGGACUUCAAUGUCUCCGUUGAUUUUCAGGCUCAUCUUGCCAAAUCAGAGUGACUGGUGGCUCCUCAGGGACAAACUAUGGAUUCUGUUAAACAAUGCCCUUUUUUCUUCUUCUAGAUUGAGGAGGAUCAUUCUUCAAUCCUAUACGUGAGUGAGUGGCUGCUGGAACCUUACACACACACACACACACAGAUAAUAAAAAUAAGUAAAAUGUAUGCAGUGUUUUUCAGGCUCCUAAGAGAAAGUGCUUCGGGAUGGGAUGGUUAUGUGUUAGCCAGGGCCCAUGAGCUGAAUAGAACCAAGAAACCCAACCCACCUCUCCAGAAACACCUUUGCAUGUACCCUGCGGGCUCUUGCAUCGCUAUCCACUCUCUACCCUCAGAUGACAGGAGGGACCAUCUUUAGGUCUGUCCUUGACUCUAGUGUGUGGCUUGGGGGUCCAUUUCCUCUGAUGGAUGGGGAGAAGGUGUCAGAGCCCCAGUGUUCUUCAUUUCUUCUCCUCAUCACCAGGAAUUUAUGCUUGAUGAGCACUCUCACGUUUUUCUUAAACAUAGUAAAAUGCUUUUCAUUUUUUUUCUAAGAAUGUUCUUUGCUGCCAACAUGUAAAUAAUCUGAGACCACCUUUGAGAGAGGUUAAUGACUGGAGCAAUGAGAGGUCAUCAGUUCAUUGGAAACUGGAUUUGUAUUCAGGUCUGGAGUCUGGGAAGUCCAAAAUCAAGACUGAUCAAGACACCAGGAGAAGAUUUGGUGUCUGGUUCAUUCCAAAAUUGAACAUAUUGAAGUUUCAAUAUGCUGGUUAUGAAGCUAUUAAUUACUGAAGAAUCAAGCAGGAUGAUUCAACUUACAUUGCUGAAGGACCAAGAGAAGGGAGGGAGAGGAAGAGAUAACGGAGAACCUGAUGCACAGAAGAAAGCCCACGUGAAGAGGCAGAAGGAGGCCAGCCGUCUGCAAGCCAAGGAGAGAGACCUCAGGAGAAAUCAACUCUGCUCAGCCUUGGUCUUGGACCUCCUGUCUCCAGAGGCAUGAGAAAAUGAACAUCUGUUAUUGAAGCCGCCCAGCCUGUGGGGUUUUGCAAUGGCUGCUCUGGCAGGCUGAUCCAGCCUGUAGAAACCUACCGCACAGCCAACCCAAGCAUAAGCCUUCACCUGCCCACUAGAAGUGACCUGUAUUUAGGUUACAUAAAAAGAAGUUCUCUGCUUUGUUUUAUAGUUUUGCCACUCACUUGUGUAUCCCUGAACAAUCAAGUGCAUUGCAUUUGUAUUACUUGAAGAAACCGGGUCUUUGUCCUGAUGGUGUUACCACCAGAAAGUUAUCUGGCCCCAAAUUUCAAACCUGAAUGUGAUCAAGUCCAUGGACUCAAAUACUAAUCUGUAGGAAACACAUAGAACAGAGACAUUUGUUCAUUCCGCAUGUAGGCAAUCAGCAAAUUCCAUUACAGCUUCUGUAAGAUGGGAGAAAUGCUUGGCUCUUCUGUCUUUCAAAUGAAUGAAUGAAUCAAUAAAUAAGUAUUUUUUCCAGUUUUAGAAAAACUAGGUUUAAAAAAUAAUGAGUUGAUCCUCUGUUAUCCUUCAAAGAUAGCAAAAUUGUUAAAAGCAUCAUUAUGAAUGCACAUAUUUAACAAAUACUUCAGAUUAGCAUGCAGAUAAUUAUCUUAUAUUCCAGAAACCAUGCUGACAUACUUAAGAAUACAAACAAUAUUUUUCAGCCUUUCCUAAAUUAGUGUAUUCUUUUUACAGAGACAUAAGCUUUCUUAUUUAAAGUAUAUUUAAUGUAUUUUAGCCUUUUCUUAUUUCUUAUCAAUGUUCACCCUGUCAAGCUUUGACUAUUGGAAACUUCUUUGAGUUACUAUUGAGUCCAUUUUAAAAUAAAAUAUAUAAUUAUUUUCAUUUUGUUUGAAAGGCAGAGAGACAGAGAUUGAUUGUCUAUUCCCCAACUUCCAGCAACAGCUAGGGAUGCAGUAGGCCAAAGUCAGGAGCUCAGAAUCAAUCCUGUCUCUCAUGUGGGUGGUAGGAAGUCAAGUGCUUGAGCCAUCACCUGCUUCCUGCUGGGGUAUACAUUAGCAGAAAGCUAGGAGCAGUGCCAGGAACUGAACCCAAUGAUUUCUUUUUUUCACUUUUUUUAAAUGAUUUUUCCCCAAAGAAAGCUUUUAUUUAAGGAGUACAAAAUUCAUGCAUUUUGUAAAUACAAUUUUAGGAACAUAGUGAUUCUUCUCACCAUACCUGCCCUUCCACCCAUACUCCCACCCCUCUUCCUCCUUUCUCUCUUAUUCCCAGUCUCAGUUUUUUUUUUUAAAGAUUUAUUUUAUUUAUUUCAAAGACAGAGUUACAGAGAGAGGUAGAGACAGAGAGAGAGGUCUUCUAUCCGCUAGUUCACUCCCCAGAUGGCCGCAAUGGCCGGAGCUAUGCCAAUCCGAAGCCAGCAGCUAGGAGCUUCUUCCAGUCUCCCACAUAGGUGCAGGGGCCCAAGGACUUGUGGCAUCUUCUACUGCUUUCCCAGGCUGGAUUGGAAGAGGAGCAACCGGACUAGAACCGGCACCCAUAUGGGAUGCCAACGCUUCAGUUUUUACUAAGAUCUUUUUUUUUUUUUUUUUUUUUUUUUUUUUUUAAUUUUGACAGGCAGAGUUAGACAGUGAGAAAGAGAGACAGAGAGAAAGGUCUUCCUUCCAUUGGUUCAUCCCCCAAAUGGCUGCUACGGCCGAAGCUACGCCAAUCCAAAGCCAGGAGCCAGGUGCUUCCUCUUGGUCUCCCAUGCAGGUGCAGGGCCCAAGCACUUGGGCCAUCCUCCACUGCACUCCUGGGCCACAGCAGAGAGCUGGACUGGAAGAGGAGCAACUGGGAAUACAACCCGGCACCCAUAUGGGACGCCGGUGCCACAGGCGGAGGAUUUACCAAGUGAGCCAUGGCACUGGCCUCAACUAAGAUCUUUUUUCAGUGAACUUUAUGCACAGAAGAUUAACUCUAUACUAAAGUAAAGAGUUCAGCAAGUUGUAUGAAAAAAACACCUUGAACCCACUCAUUUUAAUGUGGGAUUCAGGUGUCCAGCUGGUGUCUUAACUCCUGCUCCGAAUGCCUACCCUUCUUGAAUCCUUUUGAAAAGCUUGUGAAUCUAUAUGAGCUUUGAUGUAUUUCAGGAUUUUAUCUUUCAUUUAGUAAUGCCAUAAGCUUGUUUCCUGUGGCUUUAUAAAUCCAGCAAUAUUUAGUUCUCCAGUGUUGUUAUUCUUCAAGAGUCUAAAUUUUCUUGAUUGUUUUCAUUUACAUUUUAUCUUAGAAUCAACUUUUCAACUUCCUCCAAAGUUGGAAUUGUAUUAAACUGAUAGAUGAACUUCCGGAAGAAGAGGUAUGUUUAUGGUGUCAAGUCCUUCAAUUUGUGAACAGGAUAAAGCCACCAUUUGUUUAGUUUUACUUAAUUCCUUUUGAUAAUAUUUUUUUUUCAAAGUAGUAAUUUUACAUGACGGUCUAUAGGAUUUAGCUACAGACAUUUUUUUUUUUGACAGAGUUAAACAGUGAGAGAGAGAGACAGAGAGAAAGGUCCUCUCUCCGUUGGUUUAUCCCCCAAAUGGCUGCCAUGGCCAGAGCUACGCCAAUCCGAAGCCAGGAGCCAGGUGCUUCCUCCUGGUCUCCCAUGUGGAUGCAGGGGCCCAAGCACUUGAGUCAUCCUUCACUGCCCUCCCAGGCCACAGCAGAGAGCUAGACUGGAAGAGGAGCAACUGGGACUAGAACCCGGCACCCAUAUGGGAUUCUGGCAUCGCAGGUGGAGGAUCAACCAAGUGAGCCACGGUGCUGGCCCCCAGGCAUCUUUUUUUUUUUUUUUACAUUGUUAUAAAUUACAUUUAUACUCUUAAAGAACUUAGUUUUCUAAAUGUUGGUUCUUGAUAUAUAAAAUUCAAUAAUUUUCAUAUAUUGAUUUUAUAUCCUAUACCAGUGAUUAGAAGAUAAAUUAAUCAAUGAAUAUGCUAAUUUCACUUAUUAACUGCAAAAGCCUAUAUUCAAUCCUUGGGGGCAUAUUUUUUUUUAACUUUUAUUUAGUAAAUAUAAUUUCCAAAGUACAGUUUAUGGAUUACAAUGGCUUUCCCCCCAUUAACUUCCCUCCCACCCGCAACCCUCCCAUCUCCUGCUCCCUCUCCCAUUCCAUUCACAUCAAGAUUCCUUCUCAAUUAUCUUUAUAUACAAAAGAUCGAUUUAGUAUAUAUUAAGUAAAGAUUUCAUCAGUUUGCACCCACACAGAACAUAAAGUGUAAAAUACUGUUUGAGUACUAGUUAUAGCAUUAAAUCUCAAUGUACAGCACACUAAGGACAAAGAUCCUACAUGAGGAGUAAGUGCACAGUGACUCCUGUUGUUGACUUAACAAAUUGACACUCUUGUUUAUGGCAUCAGUAAUCACCCUAGGCUCUUGUCAUGAGCUGCCAAGGCUAUGGAAGCCCCCUGAGUUCACUGACUCUGAUCAUAUUUAGACAAGGCCAUGGUCAAAGUGGAAGUUCUCUCCUCCCUUCAGAGAAAGGUACCUCCUUCUUUGAUGACCCAUUUUUUCCACUGGGAUCUCACUCGUGGAGAUCUUUCAUUUAGGUGUUUCCCCCCCCCUCCCCCAGAGUGUCUUGGCUUUCCAUGCCUGAAAUACUCUCAUGGGCAUUUCAGUCAGAUCUGAAUGCCUUAAGGGCUGAUUCUGAGGCCAGAGUGCUAAAAUGAGUACAGUCAUGUCAUUUGACAAAAAUGAGACUUUGAUAUUUUUCACUUCUUAUAUUUUAAGACUAUUUCUUUUUCUUGAUGAUAGUAGACAAUGAUGGGUCAUUUUCUUAUUUUGUUUCCAAACUCAAAGGAAAGCUCUAAAUAUUUCAGUAUUAAAGAAAAUAUUUGCUGUUUUUGUUUGUUUUAAAUACUCUUAAUUCAGCUUAUGGAAGUUACUUUACUUUCCUAGUUUGCUAAGAAUAUGUUUUUUAAAGAAUUGUGACCUGACGGAUACCCUAUCCCCAAUAGAAUGCAAGUUUAUAUUAUCAAUCAUCAUAUAAUAUCAUUUUUUAUUCUUUUAAUAUGUUAAAUUUCAUAGUUUUAUUUUCAAAUAUUAAAUAAAUCAUUCAUUCCAAGAAUAGACCCAGCUUGAUUGUGAUAUGCUGUUCUUUUAAUCCAUCACCGGUUCUGGUUGGCUCAUAUUUUACUGUGGCUAUUUACUUCUUUAUGAGGGAGUUAAUCUGUUGCUUGUUUAUUGUAAUAUCAUUAUCAAGUUUUGGUAUGAAGAUUAUGCUUGUUUAUAGUUGGGAAUUAUGUGUCUUUUUCUGUUCUCUGAAAGAAUUAGUAUAAGGUUAUUUUUAUAAAAAAGACUAAUUGAAGUUUUCUGACAAAACUAUCUGGAAUGAACGUUCUUUGUGGAUUUUAUAAAUUAUCAAUUAAUCAAUUAUUUAUUUCAAAGAAAGAGCAAGAGCAAGAGAGAAAGAGAGAUCUUCCAUCUUUUGAUUCAUUCUGCAAAUGCCCCCAAUAGCUAGGGCUGGGCCAGUCUGAAGCCAGGAGCCCAGAACUCAAUCUGGGUCUCCUAUAUGGGUGGCAGGAACCCAAACACUUGGGCCAUAGCUUGCUGCUUCCCCCACUGUACUUGGGCAGGAAGCUGGAAUUGGAAGCAGAACUGGGACUCAAACCCAGGCACUCUGAUACUGGGUGCAAGCAUCCCAAAUAGCAUCUUAACCACUGUACCAAAUGCCUGCCCCUUUGUGGGUUUUUAACCUUGAUUUUAUGGUUGAUAUGGAAUAAUUCAGAUUUUUCUGUUUCUUCUUGUGUCAGUUUUGAUCUGUUCAUUUCAUCUAAAAUUUAAAAUUUUUUGGCAUAAAGUUGUUCAAAAUAGUUUCUUACAUCCUUUUAAAUAAUAGCGUCUCCUUUAAUUCCUGAUUAGUAAUUUAUGCCUUAAUUCUUUAAAAAUUUUUAAAAUUUUAAUUAGAUUUUAACAGAUUCAAUAUGCUUUGUAGAUACAAUUCUUUUUUUUUUUUAAGAUUUAUUUUAUUUAUUUGAAAGACAGAGUUACAGAGAGAGAUAGAGACAGAGAGAGAGAGAUCUUCCAUCCGAUGGUUCAUUCCCCAAUUAGCUGCAAUGGCCAGAGCUUCGCCAAUCCGAAGCCAGGAGCCAGGAGCUUCUUCCAGGUCUCACACGCAGGUGCAGGAGCCCAAGGACUUGGGCCGUCUUCCACUGCUUUCCCAAGCCAUAGCAGAGGGCUGGAUCGAAAGAGGAACAACCGGGACUAGAACCAGUGCCCAUAUGGGAUGCCAAAGCUUCAGGCCAGGGCUUUAACCGUCUGCGCCACAGCGCUGGCACCUGUGGAUGUAAUUCUAAGAAUGUAAUGAUAUUCCCUUUCUCCCUUCCCCUCUCUUCCUCCUACUUUCCGUCCUUUGUUUUUUUUUUUUUUUUUAGUUUUUUAGCUUUUGAGAUAACAUCUUCUAAAUUUACAUUACAGUAAAGAGGCUUAAUACUCCACCAAAUAAGAAGUUUAACAAGUAAAAAGCAAAAAGACCCUAGUUUAGUGGAAAUAUAGACAAUGGCUAUAAACAAUGUCUUAAUUCUUUUCUUAAUAAAUCUUACUAGGUGUUUAUUAAAUUGAUUACUCUUUUCAAAGAACUAACUCUUGUCUUUAUUGAUUUUUCUCUUGAGUUGGUUUCUUUUCUAAGACCUCACACACGAAAGGUCUUCAGUGAGUUCAUGGAAAAUGUGCAUUAUCUAUUAAUCCCAUUUCCAUGAAACUUUUGAAGUUCUCUCAUAUAUCUUAUUGAUUUUCUCUCUCUAGAGAACUCUGAUUAAGUGGGUAUAUUGCUGAGGGUAUGGAUCUCUGUUCUCUGCUGUGUUCUAUCGAUCUAAGAGUAUAUCCCUUCUGCC
Oryctolagus cuniculus (rabbit) is the source of this 8428-nucleotide non-coding RNA. The record is from RefSeq and is a predicted model, not a curated record. Lineage: Eukaryota; Metazoa; Chordata; Mammalia; Lagomorpha; Leporidae.